RNAcentral lists this ribosomal RNA (429 nucleotides) under Pseudomonadota bacterium. Its description in RNAcentral is "Proteobacteria bacterium partial 16S ribosomal RNA". It matches the Rfam family "Bacterial small subunit ribosomal RNA", at positions 355 to 776 of the family's 1533-position model. Lineage: Bacteria; Pseudomonadati; Pseudomonadota. The record is from RNAcentral.
UGGGGAGUAUUGGACAAUGGGCGAAAGCCUGAUCCAGCCAUGCCGCGUGUGUGAAGAAGGUCUUCGGAUUGUAAAGCACUUUAAGUUGGGAGGAAGGGCAGUAAGCGAAUACCUUGCUGUUUUGACGUUACCGACAGAAUAAGCACCGGCUAACUCUGUGCCAGCAGCCGCGGUAAUACAGAGGGUGCGAGCGUUAAUCGGAUUUACUGGGCGUAAAGCGUGCGUAGGCGGCUAAUUGAGUCGGAUGUGAAAUCCCCGAGCUUAACUUGGGAAUUGCAUUCGAUACUGGUUAGCUAGAGUGUGGGAGAGGAUGGUAGAAUUCCAGGUGUAGCGGUGAAAUGCGUAGAGAUCUGGAGGAAUACCGAUGGCGAAGGCAGCCAUCUGGCCUAACACUGACGCUGAGGUACGAAAGCAUGGGGAGCAAACAGG